AACGCUAGCUACAGGCUUAACACAUGCAAGUCGAGGGGAAACGACAUCGAAAGCUUGCUUUUGAUGGGCGUCGACCGGCGCACGGGUGAGUAACGCGUAUCCAACCUGCCCACCACUUGGGGAUAACCUUGCGAAAGUAAGACUAAUACCCAAUGACGUCUCUAGAAGACAUCUGAAAGAGAUUAAAGAUUUAUCGGUGAUGGAUGGGGAUGCGUCUGAUUAGCUUGUUGGCGGGGUAACGGCCCACCAAGGCGACGAUCAGUAGGGGUUCUGAGAGGAAGGUCCCCCACAUUGGAACUGAGACACGGUCCAAACUCCUACGGGAGGCAGCAGUGAGGAAUAUUGGUCAAUGGGCGAGAGCCUGAACCAGCCAAGUAGCGUGCAGGAUGACGGCCCUAUGGGUUGUAAACUGCUUUUAUAAGGGAAUAAAGUGAGUCUCGUGAGACUUUUUGCAUGUACCUUAUGAAUAAGGACCGGCUAAUUCCGUGCCAGCAGCCGCGGUAAUACGGAAGGUCCGGGCGUUAUCCGGAUUUAUUGGGUUUAAAGGGAGCGUGGGCCGGAGAUUAAGCGUGUUGUGAAAUGUAGAUGCUCAACAUCUGCACUGCAGCGCGAACUGGUUUCCUUGAGUACGCACAAAGUGGGCGGAAUUCGUGGUGUAGCGGUGAAAUGCUUAGAUAUCACGAAGAACUCCGAUUG
This 696-nucleotide ribosomal RNA is filed under the name uncultured bacterium. Its description in RNAcentral is "bacterial SSU rRNA". It matches the Rfam family "Bacterial small subunit ribosomal RNA", at positions 32 to 715 of the family's 1533-position model. The record is from RNAcentral.